This 628-nucleotide long non-coding RNA is filed under the name Dasypus novemcinctus (nine-banded armadillo). RNAcentral describes it as "lncRNA (ENSDNOG00000052199.1)". The record is from RNAcentral. Lineage: Eukaryota; Metazoa; Chordata; Mammalia; Cingulata; Dasypodidae.
UUUUUGUUGUUGUUGGGGGUGGGGUGAAAGCCUCACUAAUGAUCAGCAUAAUUACACUUCAAAUCUCUGCUUCCUUUGGGGAAGUGCAGUAUUUCCUUUGUUCAAUCAACUCGUACUGAAAGAAAGCUGAUGGGAACGCACCAGUUUCCUUUUCAUUGAAUUUUGGAUUAUUUUAGACAGCACUCCUUUCCUCCUUUCUGUUGUCUGAAAGGAUGUGGCAUACAUUUAUUUGGAAAACACUCUACUUGUGUAUUAAACUAUAUAACUUCUGGACAGUGGGGGACAGUCGGGGAAUGUAAACAUUAAGUAAACUGUUUGGUAGCCCCAAGUCUACACGACUUGAGUGUGAGGAAACCGCCCCUUAAAUGUCCUUGCGUCUUGUCUAGUCUGCGUGUGUGUAAUACAGAGCAGGAGCCUCUGCUCACAGUAACUGAACCGCCCGCCCCAGCCUCUCCUGCCCGCCAAGGGGCCCGGGAAGACUGCUGCCUGGAGCCCAUCUCCUCAGCCGUCAGCAGCAGCAGGUGUUCCUGAAAAACAUUCGUGAUUUGGAUGUGAGAAAGGACAUGAGGAGACCAAAGACCUGGGAUUUCGCUGAUCAGAAUGAAACAGAUGUUGAAAGACUUUUCAA